GAAACUUCAUAAAUCUUUAUUCAAUCUUUAUUUCUUCACAUAGUUUAAUAUACAGAUUUUCUUAUAAUCACAGUCAUUAAUAUAUAUUCAUAAUUCUCUUUAUUCAUUCAACAUAUAACCUGACACGUGUCGCAUGUAUGAAUCAUUAACGGAUUUCAAGUUUUCCUUUGGCACCUAAGUAAGCGUUUCAGAAACAUCUUUCAUCUUAUUUAAGACAAUAAUCGUUGAUAAAAUUUCUAGCAAGUUCGAAAGUCACGAAUCGCGCAUAGCCCGUGAUUUAUGGCCAUUCUUAACUCGUUCUGGUGUCUGAUUAAGCUCAUAUAUCGUCAUCUCAUCAGUGACGUUUCUGGUAUGAAGUUAAUUUGGGAAACGGGUGAUUUUCCUCAUUAAGAUGAAUGUAUACUCAUUCCGGUGUCAUUUUGGCAAUGUUUUCGCGUUGAAUAUUCCCUAAAUUAUCAUUCGAAUAUUACGUAGAUCAAUUAGACUCUGCUCUAAAAUGAUAAUUAGAAUUUGAUUUUCGUUUAACGAGAAAAAUUUAGAAAAGUUUUGGUAUAUUAAAAAUUUAUGAUAUCUUAUCUUGUGAUUAAAAUAUUUUGAAUAAUAAUUUAUUUAUAUGUUAAUUGAUAUUUUGAAAACUUUACUUGCAAUUUAUAAAUUUUAUAACCUAUAACCAAUACGUCUUGAAAUAUCAAAUAUUCUACAUUCGCUCUAAUUAAACAAUUCUUCUUCAUCUUUUGUUCACUGACCCACGCAACAGAUCAUACUCGCCAUUCAUUCAAUAUGAAUCAUGAAUCAUUUCGAUUCUAAACAGCCGAUCCACAAACGCUGGGUGUAUUCCCGGCGCUAUUGAAAAACCGAGAAUUCUGACGCAUCGUAGGUAAAUUUAGUGCAACGUCCUCGAAAGAACGCUACAAGCCGUACGAUGCGAUUCGUAUCGAGUUAUAGUUCGUUGUUAUUAACGUUGUCGCUGACGUAGCCAUUCAUUGAUCGCGGCUGACGACGCAGAAACGGAUCUAAUUCGGAUUUUCCGGUGCAGAUUCGGUGGAUGCUCCUUUUACGGUUCCAUGGGUAGCUAUUAGCCUGAGACUUUGGAACUCGCCCGAGACGUCACGCUAAAAGAAGAAUGAGAAAAGACCAGAAGUGUAUAAAAAAGAAUCAAAGGAUAAUGGAUAAAGGAUGAGAAAACAGGAUGAAUACUGAAGUUACUCUAACGUAACACGCAAAAUCACGUUGUAAACUUGUAUAAGAUAUAAAUAAAUAAUUCCAGAGAAUUUCAUACGAAUCGAACUUUUUUUAAAAUCAAAUCAUUUUUAGAGAAGGAAUUUUUAAUUCAUCUAACUGCGCAGCAAAUUCAACGGACAUCUGGCAGCCAACAUCGAAUCAAGUAAUUAGGCGAAUCCGAGUCAAGUUGAUUACGUAAUCAUAGCAGAUUCGAGUCAAAAUUUCAUAAGAUGACAAUUCAAACGACGAAAUAAGCGAAUUCCUUCCUGAAAAAAAGUAUCACUCGUUAUAAAUAAGUUUUUAGAAGUUUGGGAUGUCUCACAGAAAAAGCUCGGUCAUCUAUUUUGCAGAAUGGUAUAUAAGUUUCUAGCAUUUUUCAAAUUGUUUCUUGGUUAACCGUAAUUAUUUAUAGAUAGGAGCAAUCUUGAUUGAGAAGAGAAAUUAUAUUAACGAAAUCACUAAUCAGAGAAUAAUUUUUCCAUGCAAAUAUAAAUAAGGAAAUGAAUUAUAUGAAGGUGUUGGAAAGUAUCAUCAUCUUGAAAAUUUGAAAAAGGUUAACAUGUAUUGAAGAAGGAUAAAGAUAGGUAAGAAUUGGCUGCUCGCGCCAUCUCUUAAAGAAUAACAAUAUUUCUUCGAAAUUAGAAGGAUGAUAAAGUAGGAUAAGAAUUAAAUGUUCGUGCUAUUAUGAAUGCCAAAAAUAUUUUAAUAUCAGGAAUAUUCAAGAAAUGACGUUAACGAUUAAUUUUUAUCUAUAUCUAUCCUUUUUAUACUAUUACUUUCUUUAUUUAUAUAUUUCAUUUGUGUCAUAUAUUUUGAAGAUGGCACGGAUCUGUAAUUUUUAUUGUAUCUCUAAUUCUUUUCAUACAAUUUAUUUUUUUUUGUUUAUACUUGUUAAUAUAGACAAAAGUUAUUAUUAUAUAAUAAAUUAAUUAGUUUUAAUUAAGUAACAAUUAAUAAUUAAUUUAUUAAUGAAUAAUAUUCAAUUUCACUUUAUGCAAACUUUCACUCAUGCAAAAUAAAGAGAAAAAUAUAUAAAUAUUUUUUCUGGAGCAAUAUCUUUAUUUUCCUGCGAAUACAGAUUCAUUACGUGUAUGUAUAUUUAUAUAUAUAGUAUUUGUCUUAACAAUAUGUUCAUAAAUAUAUGAAUAUAACAUUUACAUGCGUUUCCCUUUUUUUCGUUUUUAUUUUGUUCAAAUAUACAUAAAUAAUUCUAAUCGAUAUUCGACGAACGACGAUUAAAUCAUCACAUUGAUAGAAUAUGAAUAGAUAUACAUUAAUAAAAAAGAGAAACAUGUUAUAUUAAAACAGAGUAUAAUGAGACUAGUGUCAAUCGUUCAAUUUAUUUAUUGAUUACGAUCAAUAUUUCUUUUUUUUUUUUUUUUUUUUUUUUUUUUUUUAUUAUAUUUUUCUUCAAAUCUGUCAUAUUCACUUCAGUUUAUUAUAUUAAAAUUAAUUUCAAUGAUGAAUAUUUUGAGUUUUACAAAUUUUACCUUUUUUCCAGCUUAUUCAAAACACUUGUUUCUUUUUAAUUUUUAAUUUAAAAAAAUUUAAAUUAUUGUUAUUAUUUAAUUAAAAAAUUCUUAAAAAUUAUUUUAAGUUGAAUAAAAAUUUAAUUUUUAUAUUUUUGAUAAAUAUUAUCUUUUUAUCAAAUUUUGAAAUAAAUGACUUAUCUAUUUCGUAAACGUCGAAGAUCGAAUAAUCCAAUUAUAAUAUUAUUAAGAAAUUUUAUAUACCGGUGUAAUUUAUCUUCCUCAAUCAGAGAAAUUAUAAUUAAAGUAUUCAUAAUAAAAAAAA
Molecule: long non-coding RNA, 3015 nt
Organism: Apis cerana (Asiatic honeybee)
Lineage: Eukaryota; Metazoa; Arthropoda; Insecta; Hymenoptera; Apidae
Source: RefSeq, a predicted model, not a curated record